This 468-nucleotide ribosomal RNA is filed under the name uncultured bacterium. Its description in RNAcentral is "partial 16S ribosomal RNA". It matches the Rfam family "Bacterial small subunit ribosomal RNA", at positions 28 to 507 of the family's 1533-position model. The record is from RNAcentral.
GACGAACGCUGGCGGCGUGCUUAACACAUGCAAGUCGAACGGAAAGGCCCUGCUUUUGUGGGGUGCUCGAGUGGCGAACGGGUGAGUAACACGUGAGUAACCUGCCCUUGACUUUGGGAUAACUUCAGGAAACUGGGGCUAAUACCGGAUAGGAGCUCCUGCUGCAUGGUGGGGGUUGGAAAGUUUCGGCGGUUGGGGAUGGACUCGCGGCUUAUCAGCUUGUUGGUGGGGUAGUGGCUUACCAAGGCUUUGACGGGUAGCCGGCCUGAGAGGGUGACCGGGCACAUUGGGACUGAGAGACGGCCCAGACUCCAACGGGAGGCAGCAGUGGGGAAUAUUGCACAAUGGGCGGAAGCCUGAUGCAGCAACGCCGCGUGCGGGAUGACGGCCUUCGGGUUGUAAACCGCUUUCGCCUGUGACGAAGCGUGAGUGACGGUAAUGGGUAAAGAAGCACCGGCUAACUACGUG